Molecule: long non-coding RNA, 892 nt
Organism: Notolabrus celidotus (New Zealand spotty)
Lineage: Eukaryota; Metazoa; Chordata; Actinopteri; Labriformes; Labridae
Exons: 2
Source: RefSeq, a predicted model, not a curated record
CUAGCGCCUUACUUCGAUUGAAAACAUCGACAAAUCUUACUGUCAUCCACAGGUUGUCACAUGUGCUUACAGUGUAGUGACAGCUCUACGUCUGCACGCAGCACACUGGCAUGUCAGCGCUGACAUGCUAACACGGAGCUAGCGUUAGCUUCAUGUUGUAAACAAGCGGAGACAGGCUAGCGUUACAUGCCACGUAUUUAGCUGAACAACCAGCACUACUUAAUCGUGAAGGGGAGCAGACUCUUAGAACACGACACUCGGGAUGUAAAAAUCUGGAAAUCACUGACACGAAGGCCGGCUGUCAGACAGAGACGAAGGCAGCCCGAGAACUUCUAGUUGCUGACAGCGGUGGGGGUGCUGGGAUUGGACGAGCGGCCACAGACGCCCGUCAUGCAGAGAGGGGGCAGCCGGGUUCACAGGUGCACAGCAUCUGACAGAUAAUAGCAGAUAAAAGGCGGGCUAACCUGCGGCUUGCUCCUCGCUAAGGGAGGGGAGACCCGUGGUGGUGGGUGUGUGGGUCAGAUGAGGAGGGGGUGCAGGGGCAUGUUAAAGGGGCUCUGACAACUUGCGGCCUUUACUUAACCACACACCAGCCAGAAUGAGACCAGUACACACACUUACAUACACAUGUCAAGGACAGGCAAGGUCUCGAUCAGAAAUCCCUCCACAGAAUCUCUCCCGCAGCUUACUGUACACUUGGAGGAGGUUAAGAUUGAUUUGGAGCUUAAUACAGAGUGUUUGCGCAGCUGUUGUGUCUGAAAAAGCACAUCAAAACCCAGCAGUCGUGUUAUUGGCUUUUUGUUUUUUGCUGCUCUUUUAUUAUCCUUGUAUUAAUUCUGGUUGAAAGAGCAGUGAGUCUCCCAAGUACAAUACAUUUUGUUUAUUGCACUGA